Molecule: long non-coding RNA, 1887 nt
Filed under: Mus musculus (house mouse)
Lineage: Eukaryota; Metazoa; Chordata; Mammalia; Rodentia; Muridae
Description: long non-coding RNA chr15:19014421-19016308
Source: RNAcentral
UAAUAUAUGCAAACUUCUUCCUACUGAAAGCAUCUGUAAAUUAUAAACCACUUAACAUUUAUCAUCUGAAAAAUUGACAGGAACGGUGCUCUAACCCCUGAGCGGCAAAAUCAACCACACUCAGCUUUAAAUCAUUGCUGCUCUCGAUUCUUGUGCUAAUACAUUGGUGGUACAGCAGUUUUGUCUCGUUCAUAUUUGCUAAGACAGUGUCUGGAAAAAUAAACCUUUCUCUCAUUGUUUUUUUGUUGAAUGACAUAUUUGCUCUUGAAUUUUAUAGGCAGUAUGAGUUCAGACUGUUCUCAGGCUGAAAUGAUCAGUGACUGGCAUUAUUUUUACCUCCCAUGGUGACUUUGAAAAUGCCUAGUAAUGACAGUAAUAACACAGAAUAGUCCAUUAAAGAUGCAGCUUCCCACCCCACUUAUUGUCAGCUCUCAGAGAUGCAUCACACAUUGUUGUAGCAUUGGUGUGUGUGUGUAAAAAGAAUAAUAGAGAGCAAAAUAAGUUAAAUUACAAACUUUAAAGCGUCGGGAGUCGAUCAUCAAAUGUGACUGAGAAUCCUAGAGGUGGGAACAAUACUGUUCUUAAUUGUUCAAGUUCUACUCCUCUUUUACCUUGUAAAUGGAAUACUUCAGUAGUAGAUACAGAACUCACAAUCUCUGCUGAGUGUGUUGUAAACAAUACCAAAGAUUCAUGUGCUAAUUAGUGAAAAUGCUCUAUGAUCUGAAUCGGUCUGUGUGCUAUGUUAAUAUAUCCCUAUUGCAGAAUUAGUUCUUUCAAUCUAUGGUGGGUUUUUUUCCCCUAACUUCAAGGCUGAAGGGCCCACACCACUCUACCAACAAAUACUUCAGUUUGUAUAAUAGUCUGAUUAUGAAAAAGAGACAACCCAUGAGGCCCAAUUAAAAUCACAGCCAAGUAGUGCCAAGAACAUAUCAGGCUGAAUAUUAACACUUAAUAUGACAGAACUCACUAAUGUAUAUCAUAAGCUGGCUUUCAAAAGAAACUAAGUUAAGAAAUGAAACUUUCUCCUUUAUACUGAAUUCAAGUGAGGAACAUGCUGUUUCCUGGAGAGAUCAAUCAUUAAAAAUGGAAUAAGAUGACAAGGAAAAAGGAAAACAAAGGCCUCAGAACAUUUCAAAUUGGUCAUAAUUUAAAAUACAAUUUUUGUUAGAAUUAUUUCUACCUUUUCACACAAGUAGCUUCUUGAGUCAAUAUUAGAUGUCAAUAAAGUAAUUCUCGUGUCUAUACUGUAAUUCUUAUGUGGAGACUUUUAAUUAUCUUCUUUCAGAAAUGUCAAGUGACACUAAAUUAUUCUGGCAUUUACUUAAUCAUCCAUUAUUUAAAAAAUCGGGAGUUGUGACAAUGUUCUCUAGUAGAACAAGAACCAGUUUCAGAAGUGUUCAUUGGGACAGAUGGGCAGGCUUAUUUGUCAACUUUGGGGAAAUUGUUUAAUAGCAGAUACGCCAGUAUUGUUGUUAAGGACAAUGGUAUGUUGAAGUGAUUUUUGGUAGCCAUGGAAUUCAAAACAUAUGUUAUAAAAAAAAAUCUAUUUAAAGUUUCUCAGAUACAUUUUGGUAUUGUGCUUGCCAGAGAGAAUACCCAGGACACCCCUUAUUCCAAAAUUAGUGUCUGCGUCAGUGGGGCUACUGUCAAAACGUUAUUAAUGUAACUGCACCAAUGCAGGGUUUUCAUUUCUAUAUAACUUCAACAUAAAUUGUUUAUUGAUCAUCUAUUAAAGAGUAUAUAUACAAGGAUAUGAGAUGUAAUAAAUUAAAUAUAAGUCUUCUAUCCAUAAGUGUGUAUUUAGUUUACUUACAAGUUAAGAGGUGGCAAAGCUAUGUUGUAAUGAAAACCACUGAGUUUAUAAUAAAUUAUAUAGCUCUUAAAAUU